AUUGAACGCUGGCGGCAUGCCUUACACAUGCAAGUCGAACGGUAACGGGUCCUUCGGGAUGCCGACGAGUGGCGAACGGGUGAGUAAUAUAUGGGAACGUGCCCAGUUGUGGGGGAUAACUGCUCGAAAGAGCAGCUAAUACCGCAUACGACGUGAGGGUGAAAGGGGGGGAUCGCAAGACCUCUCGCGAUUGGGGCGGCCGAUAUCAGAUUAGCUAGUUGGUGGGGUAAAGGCCUACCAAGGCAACGAUCGGUAGGUGGUCUGAGAGGACGACCGGCCACACUGGGACUGAGACACGGCCCAGGCUCCUACGGGAGGCAGCAGUGGGGAAUUUUGGACAAUGGGCGCAAGCCUGAUCCAGCAAUGCCGCGUGCAGGAAGAAGGCCUUCGGGUUGUAAACUGCUUUUGUCAGGGAAGAAAUCUUCUGGGCUAAUACCCCGGGAGGAUGACGGUACCUGAAGAAUAAGCACCGGCUAACUACGUG
Molecule: ribosomal RNA, 484 nt
Filed under: uncultured bacterium
Lineage: Bacteria
Description: partial 16S ribosomal RNA
Rfam family: Bacterial small subunit ribosomal RNA
Source: RNAcentral